CCUACGGGAGGCUGCAGUGAGGAAUAUUGGUCAAUGGGCGGGAGCCUGAACCAGCCAAGUCGCGUGAGGGAAGACGGUCCUAUGGAUUGUAAACCUCUUUAGGCGGGGAGCAAUGCCGGGCACGCGUGCCCGGAGGGAGAGUACCCGCAGAAUAAGCAUCGGCUAACUCCGUGCCAGCAGCCGCGGUAAUACGGAGGAUGCGAGCGUUAUCCGGAUUGAUUGGGUUUAAAGGGUGUGUAGGCGGAUUUUUAAGUCAGCGGUAAAAUGUCCGGGCUCAACCCGGGCCGGCCGUUGAAACUGGGGAUCUUGAGUGGGCGAGAAGUAUGCGGAAUGCGUGGUGUAGCGGUGAAAUGCAUAGAUAUCACGCAGAACUCCGAUUGCGAAGGCAGCAUACCGGCGCCCGACUGACGCUGAGGCACGAAAGCGUGGGGAUCGAACAGGAUUAGAUACCCCAGUAGUC
RNAcentral lists this ribosomal RNA (460 nucleotides) under uncultured bacterium. RNAcentral describes it as "partial 16S ribosomal RNA". It matches the Rfam family "Bacterial small subunit ribosomal RNA", at positions 338 to 795 of the family's 1533-position model. The record is from RNAcentral.